RNAcentral lists this ribosomal RNA (253 nucleotides) under uncultured bacterium. RNAcentral's name for it is "partial 16S ribosomal RNA". It matches the Rfam family "Bacterial small subunit ribosomal RNA", at positions 524 to 776 of the family's 1533-position model. The record is from RNAcentral.
CACGUAGGGGCCAAGCGUUGUCCGGAUUUAUUGGGCGUAAAGAGCUCGUAGGCGGUUGGGUAAGUCGGGUGUGAAAGCCCCCGGCUCAACUGGGGAGGGUCACGCGAUACUGAUCGACUCGAAGGCAGGAGAGGGUAGUGGAAUUCCCGGUGUAGUGGUGAAAUGCGUAGAUAUCGGGAGGAACACCAGUGGCGAAGGCGACUACCUGGCCUGUUCUUGACGCUGAGGCGCGAAAGCUAGGGGAGCAAACGGG